UUUGGUUAAGUUAGAAAGGGCGCACGGUGGAUGCCUUGACACUAGGAGUCGAUGAAGGACGGGACUAACGCCGAUAUGCUUCGGGGAGCUGUAAGUAAGCUUUGAUCCGAAGAUUUCCGAAUGGGGAAACCCACCAUACGUAAUGGUAUGGUAUCCUUAUCUGAAUACAUAGGGUAAGGAAGACAGACCCAGGGAACUGAAACAUCUAAGUACCUGGAGGAAGAGAAAGCAAAUGCGAUUUCCUGAGUAGCGGCGAGCGAAACGGAACAUAGCCCAAACCAAGAGGCUUGCCUCUUGGGGUUGUAGGACAUUCUAUACGGAGUUACAAAGGAACGAGGUAGACGAAGCGACCUGGAAAGGUCCGUCGUAGAGGGUAACAACCCCGUAGUCGAAACUUCGUUCUCUCUUGAAUGUAUCCUGAGUACGGCGGAACACGUGAAAUUCCGUCGGAAUCUGGGAGGACCAUCUCCCAAGGCUAAAUACUCCCUAGUGAUCGAUAGUGAACCAGUACCGUGAGGGAAAGGUGAAAAGCACCCCGGAAGGGGAGUGAAAGAGAUCCUGAAACCGUGUGCCUACAAAUAGUCAGAGCCCGUUAACGGGUGAUGGCGUGCCUUUUGUAGAAUGAACCGGCGAGUUACGAUCCCGUGCGAGGUUAAGCUGAAGAGGCGGAGCCGCAGCGAAAGCGAGUCUGAAUAGGGCGUUUAGUACGUGGUCGUAGACCCGAAACCAGGUGAUCUACCCAUGUCCAGGGUGAAGUUCAGGUAACACUGAAUGGAGGCCCGAACCCACGCACGUUGAAAAGUGCGGGGAUGAGGUGUGGGUAGCGGAGAAAUUCCAAUCGAACCUGGAGAUAGCUGGUUCUCCCCGAAAUAGCUUUAGGGCUAGCCUUAAGUGUAAGAGUCUUGGAGGUAGAGCACUGAUUGGACUAGGGGUCCUCAUCGGAUUACCGAAUUCAGUCAAACUCCGAAUGCCAAUGACUUAUCCUUAGGAGUCAGACUGCGAGUGAUAAGAUCCGUAGUCAAAAGGGAAACAGCCCAGACCGCCAGCUAAGGUCCCAAAGUGUGUAUUAAGUGGAAAAGGAUGUGGAGUUGCUUAGACAACUAGGAUGUUGGCUUAGAAGCAGCCACCAUUUAAAGAGUGCGUAAUAGCUCACUAGUCGAGUGACUCUGCGCCGAAAAUGUACCGGGGCUAAAUACACCACCGAAGCUGCGGAUUGAUACCAAUGGUAUCAGUGGUAGGGGAGCGUUCUAAGGACAGUGAAGUCAGACCGGAAGGACUGGUGGAGUGCUUAGAAGUGAGAAUGCCGGUAUGAGUAGCGAAAGACGGGUGAGAAUCCCGUCCACCGAAUGCCUAAGGUUUCCUGAGGAAGGCUCGUCCGCUCAGGGUUAGUCAGGACCUAAGCCGAGGCCGACAGGCGUAGGCGAUGGACAACAGGUUGAUAUUCCUGUACCACCUCUUUAUCGUUUGAGCAAUGGAGGGACGCAGAAGGAUAGAAGAAGCGUGCGAUUGGUUGUGCACGUCCAAGCAGUUAGGCUGAUAAGUAGGCAAAUCCGCUUAUCAUAAAGGCUGAGCUGUGAUGGGGAAGCUCCUUAUGGAGCGAAGUCUUUGAUUCCCCGCUGCCAAGAAAAGCUUCUAGCGAGAUAAAAGGUGCCUGUACCGCAAACCGACACAGGUAGGCGAGGAGAGAAUCCUAAGGUGUGCGAGAGAACUCUGGUUAAGGAACUCGGCAAAAUGACCCCGUAACUUCGGGAGAAGGGGUGCUUUCUUAACGGAAAGCCGCAGUGAAUAGGCCCAAGCGACUGUUUAGCAAAAACACAGCUCUCUGCGAAGCCGUAAGGCGAAGUAUAGGGGGUGACACCUGCCCGGUGCUGGAAGGUUAAGGAGAGGGGUUAGCGUAAGCGAAGCUCUGAACUGAAGCCCCAGUAAACGGCGGCCGUAACUAUAACGGUCCUAAGGUAGCGAAAUUCCUUGUCGGGUAAGUUCCGACCCGCACGAAAGGUGUAACGAUUUGGGCACUGUCUCAACCAGAGACUCGGUGAAAUUAUAGUACCUGUGAAGAUGCAGGUUACCCGCGACAGGACGGAAAGACCCCGUGGAGCUUUACUGUAGCCUGAUAUUGAAUUUUGGUACAGUUUGUACAGGAUAGGCGGGAGCCUUUGAAACCGGAGCGCUAGCUUCGGUGGAGGCGCUGGUGGGAUACCGCCCUGACUGUAUUGAAAUUCUAACCUACGGGUCUUAUCGACCCGGGAGACAGUGUCAGGUGGGCAGUUUGACUGGGGCGGUCGCCUCCUAAAGUGUAACGGAGGCGCCCAAAGGUUCCCUCAGAAUGGUUGGAAAUCAUUCGUAGAGUGCAAAGGCAUAAGGGAGCUUGACUGCGAGACCUACAAGUCGAGCAGGGACGAAAGUCGGGCUUAGUGAUCCGGUGGUUCCGCAUGGAAGGGCCAUCGCUCAACGGAUAAAAGCUACCCCGGGGAUAACAGGCUUAUCUCCCCCAAGAGUCCACAUCGACGGGGAGGUUUGGCACCUCGAUGUCGGCUCAUCGCAUCCUGGGGCUGUAGUCGGUCCCAAGGGUUGGGCUGUUCGCCCAUUAAAGCGGUACGCGAGCUGGGUUCAGAACGUCGUGAGACAGUUCGGUCCCUAUCCGUCGUGGGCGUAGGAAAUUUGAGAGGAGCUGUCCUUAGUACGAGAGGACCGGGAUGGACGCACCGCUGGUGUACCAGUUGUUCUGCCAAGGGCAUAGCUGGGUAGCUAUGUGCGGAAGGGAUAAGUGCUGAAAGCAUCUAAGCAUGAAGCCCCCCUCAAGAUGAGAUUUCCCAUAGCGUAAGCUAGUAAGAUCCCUGAAAGAUGAUCAGGUUGAUAGGUUCGAGGUGGAAGCAUGGUGACAUGUGGAGCUGACGAAUACUAAUAGAUCGAGGACUUAACCAUAUAA
RNAcentral lists this ribosomal RNA (2929 nucleotides) under Bacillus paranthracis. Its description in RNAcentral is "23S ribosomal RNA". It matches the Rfam family "Bacterial large subunit ribosomal RNA". Lineage: Bacteria; Bacillati; Bacillota; Bacilli; Caryophanales; Bacillaceae. The record is from RNAcentral.